UACGGAGGGUGCAAGCGUUGUCCGGAUUUAUUGGGUUUAAAGGGUGCGUAGGCGGCUUUUUAAGUCAGUGGUGAAAUCCUAGUGCUUAACACUAGAACGGCCAUUGAUACUGGGAAGCUUGAGUGCAGGAGAGGUAAGCAGAAUUUAUGGUGUAGCAGUGAAAUGCUUAGAUACCAUCAAGAACACCGAUAGCGAAGGCAGCUUACUAGGCUUUAACUGACGCUGAGGCACGAAAGCGUGGGGAGCAAAC
Molecule: ribosomal RNA, 250 nt
Filed under: uncultured Cytophagia bacterium
Lineage: Bacteria; Pseudomonadati; Bacteroidota; Cytophagia
Description: partial 16S ribosomal RNA
Rfam family: Bacterial small subunit ribosomal RNA
Source: RNAcentral